GGAGCUGGCGGCCGCGGGCGCCGCCGCCUCCUCCUCCAUGGCUGUUUACCCGGCUGCAUUGUGGGAGUUUGACCUCCGCCGCCGCCAACCGCCGCCUCAGCUUGCGCCGCCGCCGCCGCCGUGCACGCCAUGGGAGCCGUGACUGACGACGAAGUCAUACGGAAGCGUCUCCUCAUUGAUGGAGAUGGUGCUGGAGAUGAGAAGGAUAUAGCCAGUACCAGCGUAUGCUGAGCACACUGUCUCAAAGUGAAUUUUCAAUGGGAAAAACUUUACUAGUAUAUGAUAUGAAUCUCAGAGAAAUGGAAAAUUAUGAAAAAAUUUACAAGGAAAUAGAAUGUAGCAUUGCUGGAGCACAUGAAAAAAUUGCUGAGUGCAAAAAGCAAAUUCUUCAAGCAAAACGAAUACGAAAAAAUCGCCAAGAAUAUGAUGCUUUGGCAAAAGUGAUCCAGCAUCAUCCAGACAGGCAUGAGACAUUAAAGGAACUAGAAGCUCUGGGAAAAGAAUUAGAGCAUCUUUCACAUAUUAAAGAAAGUGUCGAAGAUAAGCUGGAAUUGAGACGGAAACAGUUUCACGUUCUUCUUAGUACCAUCCAUGAACUUCAGCAAACAUUGGAAAAUGAUGAAAAACUCUCAGAGGUAGAAGAAGCUCAGGAUGAAAGCAUGGAAACAGACCCUAAGCCAUAGAUAGGCUAAUUGCCCACCAUUCCCAGGAAUAUUGAAAUAGCUGCAUGAACAUAAUGUGUUUAAAAUGGGUUGUGCUCUUGAGAUAUUUAAAAUUUUGGCAGUACAAUACUCUGUUUUUAAAUAUGAAUGUACAUUUCAUUCAUAUUUCCUCACACAAAGGAAAAUGACUUUAGUAUAGAUUUUUUUAUUAAAAGGCAUUUUUUAUUCUUAAAAGGUAGGAAGCAACAUCUAAAUAUGCUUAAUAAAAUGCUUUUAAGCUGGAAAA
Molecule: RNA transcript, 948 nt
Organism: Sapajus apella (tufted capuchin)
Lineage: Eukaryota; Metazoa; Chordata; Mammalia; Primates; Cebidae
Gene name: THO complex subunit 7 homolog pseudogene
Exons: 1
Source: RefSeq, a predicted model, not a curated record